Long non-coding RNA from Triticum aestivum (bread wheat), 1560 nucleotides. RefSeq lists it as uncharacterized. Lineage: Eukaryota; Viridiplantae; Streptophyta; Magnoliopsida; Poales; Poaceae. The transcript is spliced from 7 exons. The record is from RefSeq and is a predicted model, not a curated record.
GCUCCGCCCCCCGCCCCCCACCCCCCAACCCUCUUACUCUGCCUAUGGCUCUCGCUCCGCCUCCGGCGAUGGAUCCCCGUGCGUGGCUGCCGUGCAUGGACAUGGCUAGUCCGCCGGAGACACGAAUCCUGCAUGUGGCCGUCGUCGUCGGCACACCUCUAUUUUUCUCUGUAUUGUCACUGUCCCCUCCUGUGGAUCGAUCUAACCUUGCUCCUCCUUCCGUCGUCGUCGUAGGCCUGGUUGUUGGCCGGUGGCCGCCAUUAAUACGCAAUUGAUGCUCCUCCUUCCGUCGCAGCUAACCGUGAUUUUUUCGCUCACAAUUUCUCUUCUCCGUGUAGAUCUUCCCUUGGUGGCGCUUGCAUCUUCACAUGGCAUAAGAUCGAAGGAUCCUAUGAACCCAGGCCGUCAUGAACGGUCAUCCACCCCGCCGGAGAUUGGUAUUGCUUGCAUGUUCACAGGACCAUGGACCGAGGAUUUCCUGAACACGAUGAACAUCCUAGGUUUUCGAUGUUUGUUUUCCUCGCUCUACGCGGGGAGAUCUCAUUCUGACCCUGCCCUAGCUCUGUUCUCUACAAACCCUGACCUACUGCUGCCGUUUUGGGGCUGCUACCGAAGUUUCUGUUCAUGACAGUUCCAGAAGAUAAGUUCACUGCUUGCAGAUGUCGUUCUGGGGCGAUUGGAACAAGGGAGGGGGGUCUGGCCACAAGCCUCUCUACUGGCUUGGAGCUGGGAAUCUGAAUCUGGAUAAAGAGCCUACUCUGGACGAACUGGAUGUGGAGAAUGUGGGGAAGCUGUCCACCGUCUGGAGAGGUUGAGUCAAUGUUCAGGAACUGGAGGAGUUCCUCCCCCCUCCUCCGGAGGAGUUGACUGUUGGCAGGGAUGAGGUUACCGUGAGAGAUGUUGGUACUUACUGGGGCAAGUGCAGGGAGGGGUCCAUACUGAGAAGAUGGAUUGCUUGCAACUCCCUUGCCGGUCAUCAUGGCAAAUCCCCACUGGACUACCCGCAACUGAAGAAGGUUCAGAAUGCCAUCCGUGAUUUGUUUGACAAGGUUGCUUCAGAGAUACAUGGUUUUAAGGGCCACCCAUACCUUCUCGAAGAAGUGGUUAUUCUUGCCCCAGAGCCCGCGCCUAAGAGCUCUCGCAAGUCCAAGCAAAAAGCUAAGGGAGCGUUCGGAAUCCCUCCACUCCCGAGUCAGCUCGCGGAGCCGGCGGAGCUGCAGGCUGAAAAGGUGGAGCUGGGAUAUACGCGCUCCGCAGAUCCGCGGAGCUGGCGGAAGGCCGAACAGGCCCUAAGAAGAAGAAGUGAAAAUGAAGCCACUCUAAAUCUCAUACGCCUAAGAGCUCUCUGAAGACAAGCAAAACCAGAAGAAGUGAAAACGAAGCCUCUAAAUCUCAUACCAGUUUUGGCAAGACUUCUAUCAUCUUGAGACUGUUAUCAUGCUUUCUCAGUUUUAAGUUUCUUGUCGAAUGCUAUUAUUGGUUCUUUUCACUAUCGGUUUUGUGAAUCACAUACAAAGCUGGGAUGGAAGAAUGAAAUGUCUGGAUCGUCUUUUGGUUUUU